This 274-nucleotide ribosomal RNA is filed under the name uncultured bacterium. Its description in RNAcentral is "partial 16S ribosomal RNA". It matches the Rfam family "Bacterial small subunit ribosomal RNA", at positions 523 to 796 of the family's 1533-position model. The record is from RNAcentral.
AUACGAAGGGGGCUAGCGUUGUUCGGAAUCACUGGGCGUAAAGCGCGCGUAGGUGGAUCAAUUAGUUGAGGGUGAAAUCCCGGGGCUCAACCUCGGAACUGCCUUCAAUACUGUUGAUCUUGAGACCGAGAGAGGUGAGUGGAAUUCCUAGUGUAUAGGUGAAAUUCGUAGAUAUUAGGAAGAACACCAGUGGCGAAGGCGGCUCACUGGCUCGGUACUGACGCUGAGGUGCGAAAGCGUGGGGAGCAAACAGGAUUAGAAACCCUAGUAGUCC